RNAcentral lists this long non-coding RNA (283 nucleotides) under Hordeum vulgare. Its description in RNAcentral is "long non-coding RNA (HVUL_LNC013203)". Lineage: Eukaryota; Viridiplantae; Streptophyta; Magnoliopsida; Poales; Poaceae. The record is from RNAcentral.
GUGCGGCGUGGCGGAGAGCCGCCGCGUGGCCAGGAUGGGCCUCGGCAUUGACCUGGGCGGCGGGCAGGGCGCCGGGCUCGGCCUCGGGCUUGGUCUCGGCAUCGGGGCGGGCACGGGAGGGGUGUCCGCGUCCGGAUCAGGCUCCGGCUCCGGCUCCGUGGCUGGAGCGGGCUCGACCUCUGCGUCGAGAUCCGGCUCGGUUUCUGUCGGAGGGGCCAGCUCGUCCGCUGGGUCCAGUGCCGGAUCGGCGGGGUCUGGAGCAGGGUCAUCGGCCGGGUCGGGG